GACGAACGCUGGCGGCGUGCUUAACACAUGCAAGUCGAACGGAAAGGCCCUGCUUUUGUGGGGGCGUGGGAGGGGAACGGGGGAAUUAAGCCUUGGGUACCCGACCCUUACUUUUGGCAGACCUUAAGAAAAGGGGGGCUAAUACGGAAAAGAGGAUCUGCCUGAAGGUGGGGGGUGGGAAGGUUAGGCCGUUGGGGAGGGAACCGCGGGUUAACAGAUUGUUGGGGGGGUAGUGGGUUACCAAGGCCUUGAAGGGUUGGCCGGCUGGGAGGGUAACCCGCCACAUUGGGACUGUGAUACGGCCCAGACUCCUACGGGAGGCAGCAGUGGGGAAUAUUGCCCAAUGGGCGGAAGCCUGAUGCAGAAACGCCGCGUGCGGGAUGACGGCCUUCGGGUUGUAAACCGCUUUCGCCUGUGACGAAGCGUGAGUGACGGUAAUGGGUAAAGAAGCACCGGCUAACUACGUG
RNAcentral lists this ribosomal RNA (467 nucleotides) under uncultured bacterium. RNAcentral describes it as "partial 16S ribosomal RNA". It matches the Rfam family "Bacterial small subunit ribosomal RNA", at positions 28 to 507 of the family's 1533-position model. The record is from RNAcentral.